RNAcentral lists this unclassified non-coding RNA (321 nucleotides) under Hevea brasiliensis (rubber tree). Lineage: Eukaryota; Viridiplantae; Streptophyta; Magnoliopsida; Malpighiales; Euphorbiaceae. The record is from RNAcentral.
GUUUUAGUUUGAGCUUGAGCUCUCAUGGUCUUCUUCUUCUGGUUUUGUGUUUUUGACUUUGGAUGAUUGAAAAUGUGACAGAUUGCUCUUGAGCAUUAAUUGUGAAUUGCUUCAAUUAAAUUCACAAUUGUUCACUGUGUAUAUGUAGGGCUGGCUUGGGUUCCUUCUGGUUUUGGCUCUUAUUUUUGUUCUGAAAAUGGACAGUAGAAUUGGAGUUUAGUGGAGAUCAAUUCCGAUAUAAUUCAAAUUGGCAGUUAUCAAAACUGGGCUAAUAAAGAGAGUGGUUGCAAAAUUGACGAUAAACUUCCCUAAUAUGUUUUG